GAGCACGUAGGUGGGUUUGUAAGUCAGAUGUGAAAGCCUUCUGUUCAACGGUGGAAUUGCAUCUGAAACUGUGAGUCUUGAGUGUAGGAGGGGAGAAUGGAACUUCUGGUGGAGCGGUGAAAUGCGUAGAUAUCAGAAGGAACGCCGGCGGCGAAAGCGAUUCUCUGGCCUAUUACUGACACUCAGUGUGCGAAAGCUAGGGGAGCAAACGGGAUUAGAUACCCCGGUAGUCCUAGCCGUAAACGAUGGGCACUAAGUAGAGGGG
Molecule: ribosomal RNA, 265 nt
Filed under: uncultured bacterium
Lineage: Bacteria
Description: partial 16S ribosomal RNA
Rfam family: Bacterial small subunit ribosomal RNA
Source: RNAcentral